Molecule: ribosomal RNA, 440 nt
Filed under: uncultured bacterium
Lineage: Bacteria
Description: partial 16S ribosomal RNA
Rfam family: Bacterial small subunit ribosomal RNA
Source: RNAcentral
CCUACGGGAGGCAGCAGUGGGGAAUAUUGCACAAUGGGGGAAACCCUGAUGCAGCGACGCCGCGUGAGUGAAGAAGUAUUUCGGUACGUAAAGCUCUAUCAGCAGGGAAGAAAAUGACGGUACCUGACUAAUCAGCCCCGGCUACCUACGUGCCAGCAGCCGCAGUCAUACGUAGGGGGCAAGCGUUAUCCGGAUUUACUGGGUGGAAAGGUAGCGUAGACGGUAGCGCAAGUCUGAAGUGAAAUCCCAGGGCUUAACCAUGGAACUGCAUUGGAAAAUGUGAAGCUGGAGUGCAGGAGAGGGAAGCGGAAUUCCUGGGGUAGCGGUGAAAUGCGUAGAUAUAAGGAGGAACACCAGUGGCGAAGGCGGCUUACUGGACUGUAACUGACGUUGAGGCUCGAAAGCGUGGGGAGCAAACAGGAUUAGAUACCCUGGUAGUC